This 492-nucleotide ribosomal RNA is filed under the name uncultured bacterium. RNAcentral describes it as "partial 16S ribosomal RNA". It matches the Rfam family "Bacterial small subunit ribosomal RNA", at positions 29 to 507 of the family's 1533-position model. The record is from RNAcentral.
AGUGAACGCUGGCGGUAGGCCUAACACAUGCAAGUCGAACGGCAGCACAGUAAGAGCUUGCUCUUACGGGUGGCGAGUGGCGGACGGGUGAGGAAUACAUCGGAAUCUACUUUUUCGUGGGGGAUAACGUAGGGAAACUUACGCUAAUACCGCAUACGACCUACGGGUGAAAGCAGGGGAACUUCGGACCUUGCGCGAUUGAAUGAGCCGAUGUCGGAUUAGCUAGUUGGCGGGGUAAAGGCCCACCAAGGCGACGAUCCGUAGCUGGUCUGAGAGGAUGAUCAGCCACACUGGAACGGAGACACGGUCCAGACUCCUACGGGAGGCAGCAGUGGGGAAUAUUGGACAAUGGGCGCAAGCCUGAUCCAGCCAUACCGCGUGGGUGAAGAAGGCCUUCGGGUUGUAAAGCCCCUUUGUUGGGAAAGAAAAGCAGCAGGUUAAUACCCCGCUGUUCUGACGGUACCCAAAGAAUAAGCACCGGCUAACUUCGUG